UACGGGGGGGGUAAGCGUUGUUCGGAAUUAUUGGGCGUAAAGCGCUCGCAGGCGGUCCGAUGCGUCGUGCGUGAAAGACCCCGGCUCAACUGGGGGAGGUCGUGCGAUACGGUCGGACUCGAGGCCAGUAGGGGGAUGCGGAAUUCCGGGUGUAGUGGUGGAAUGCGUAGAGAUCCGGAGGAACACCAGCGGCGAAGGCGGCAUCCUGGACUGGUCCUGACGCUCAGGAGCGAAAGCGUGGGGAGCGAACAGG
Molecule: ribosomal RNA, 253 nt
Filed under: uncultured bacterium
Lineage: Bacteria
Description: partial 16S ribosomal RNA
Rfam family: Bacterial small subunit ribosomal RNA
Source: RNAcentral